This is a long non-coding RNA of Petromyzon marinus (sea lamprey), 2618 nucleotides long. RefSeq lists it as uncharacterized. Lineage: Eukaryota; Metazoa; Chordata; Hyperoartia; Petromyzontiformes; Petromyzontidae. The record is from RefSeq and is a predicted model, not a curated record.
GUGGGGCCUUAUCCCGGUAAAAUAAAUUAAAUAAAAAUUAUAGUGCAUUUAAUACUGAUUCAUCUUCUCGCAAUACUUUCAAUUUCUCACGUCAUGCAGUUGUUUGUCCACCCGAUCUGCACUUGCUUUAUUGCAGUUCUUUAUGUUAUUCGUUUUUUGACAUAUUGGUGACCAACGCCACUCUUGCAAACGAGAUUUAAUCCUGGUCUCCAAUGUCCUCGCCAACUGGUUUCGCAAAAUCAACUUUAACAUUCGUCAGCAACUGAGUUGAGCAACUCGCGUUGAGAAAGCGGGCUUGCUCAUUUCAAGACUGCGAGAGACGACAACAAUUUGUGGCGGCCUUCAGCCAGCAGCGGAUGAAUCAUGGCCGAUGAUGUACUUUGUUGGGGUCACUGUUGCGAAUUGAGACCUCCUAUCCACGGUCCCUCGACUUGCUCACCUGGUUACACCAAAACAACCUGCAAAUCUGGUGGCCAAGCAAAACAAAACAAUCAACUCACAGCAUGGGUCGGUGCACAGAAUGGAACCCCGGAUUUCGGUGCUGGAAGCUCAAGUGAUAUAUGACCUCUAAGCUACCCAGCCACCACUAAGGUCUUUAGCGCUCUAAACAAAAAAGAAGCUCGCGCAGUACUUGUCUCCGUUUGUGGUUCUGAGUCAUUUAUAUAUUUACAAUAUAUUUAUUUCGCGAUACGUGAGCAGCUAUACAUUAAACUACACCUACGUAUCAUGGGACCGUUUUUGGCAAUAUUUAAAGUAUGAAAGUAUGAAGUGUGUAAAAAAAGUAAGAAUAGGUUUUACCCCUUUUAAAACCCUUUAGUUAUUCUUAUUUUUCAUACACGACCGUAGGACCUUUUUGAAUAUCGGUGCUGAAGACGCCUCCAGGCACUUGUGUGCAAGGCCUGAAACAAAAUGCUCAGUGUAGCAUCAAUACAAAAUCACAUUAGCGCACCUCAUAUUGCCACUCAUUCUUAACAGCCAUGUCUUCAUUGCUGCAUGAGCAGGUCACCGCCGUUGUGGUGCGAUUGUCGAUGCGAGUGUGAAUGAUCCUUGACACCCGUGCGUGAAUGUCGAACGCAGCGUCCACCUACACUCGUGAACCUCUGUAUGCAACUGACAGAUGGUUGCAAAAUAUACUGACAUGGAUCCCCCAUCGAUGUGUUCGUGUACAGCGCCCCUUUGUCAAUGCACCACCAGUUAAGGGCCUUCUUACGGCGUGUGCGGUCGUGGGGGAUAUUUGACGAGACUUCACCGCGAAGGGAAUCGAAGGGAAUAUUGAUCGAUGCAUGGUGAACCUCUUUUGCACCGUACGUAGCCAACCGUGCUAAUUGAAGGAUCAGGUAAAGUGCAGGAAUGAAUAUUGCUGCACUGCCCGCUGCUGACCACAAAAUAGGCCUUACAGCCUAUAACACCUGCUACGCAUGGUGGUCGGCCAAUUCAAGCGAUAUCCACGCUUCUUAACCCUGCCCAGGUGCUGAGAUCGGGCACCACCCCAGAGGUGAUUUGAGCAAACGCCGUUGAUGUGUGUGAUUAUGUACAACACGGCGAUUGGUUUAAUAAUCAUCAUCUCCGUUUAAAACUCCAGUACUAUGUGUCACCGUUGCUUGCGUUUGAGAACUGGAUAUCAAGAGGCCACAUGGGCAUACUCACUGGAGAUGUACCGUCGGUUGAGGUUAAGAAUUGGAUGGAUCGUAUUUAUGCUGCAACAUUUUGGAAUUUAAUCGGCUCUUCGGGUCGACUGAGCACAGUAUUGGGCUAUGAGCUGACUAAUGUUAGUUCACAUUUCUAUAAAAAAUAUAUAUCGGAUUUUUUUUUUAAUUAGAAUUCGAUCGUGUGGAAUAUAAGAUAGCUGCAGGUGGAUGCUUACAUGAAAGGAUCGACAAUGAUGAUGAUAGUUUUGGGAAACAUUCAUCCAGGAGUGGAGUGACCAAGGCAAUAGAAGAUGAUAUUAAUUUGACUCAUUAUUUGUAUUUUUGAAUGGAAAGGGAUCGCAUUUUUUGAGAAGGUGUAUAAUCUUUCCCACAAAAGGGAGCACGAGGUCCUGAUCCCCCACGAUGUAAAUUCCACACUCAUAAUGGCAGAGCACAAUUCUAUCAAUAGAACGACCACUACUACGGUUCCAACCCCAUUGUGUUGCAGUGCACCGCACACUAUGUGACGGCAUUUGCUAUUUCUUUUUUUCUCCCAAUUCGGUGGCAAUCACAAUGUGGCAGGUUAAUAUCGAGGCCUCCUUCUCCCUUAUGCGUCGCAUGGCUCAUUUUUUGACACAGCAGUAAACUAGAUGUAGUGCCAAUCCGCUGCGGUGCAGGGAAUGUUUUUUUUCCCCUUCUCCUCUUGCUCUCGUACCGUUAUAUGCAAUUCCAAAGACGCAAACAAAAAAAAGCGCACCAUAACAGAUAGACUGUGUUUCAGUGCGGCAAUGAAACACUCAAUAUUCCGGCUGUCCCCAAAGUCCCAAUGGCAGGUGUGAUUGAUAGAGUUAAGUGAAAGAGUGACGAGCUACCAAUGCGUUUCACAUUAAUUCCAUUAGCGGCACCCGACUUUUGGGGCCAGGCAAAACCUCGUGGUGAAUUGUGCUCCUGCGCCAUAAGCGACCCCUCCCCCCCCCCGUCCCUCCCUCC